This 735-nucleotide ribosomal RNA is filed under the name Niallia sp. RNAcentral's name for it is "bacterial SSU rRNA". It matches the Rfam family "Bacterial small subunit ribosomal RNA", at positions 66 to 782 of the family's 1533-position model. The record is from RNAcentral. Lineage: Bacteria; Bacillati; Bacillota; Bacilli; Caryophanales; Bacillaceae.
GCGGACUUAAAAGAGACUCUGCGUUUUAAAGUUAGCGGCGGACGGGUGAGUAACACGUGGGCAACCUGCCUGUAAGACUGGGAUAACUUCCGGAAACCGGAGCUAAUACCGGAUAAUCCUUUUCCUCUCAUGAGGAAAAGCUGAAAGACGGUUUACGCUGUCACUUACAGAUGGGCCCGCGGCGCAUUAUCUAUUUGGUGAGGUAACGGCUCACCAAGGCGACAAUGCGUAGCCGACCUGAGAGGGUGAUCGGCCACACUGGGACUGAGACACGGCCCACACUCCUACGGGAGGCAGCAGUAGGGAAUCUUCCGCAAUGGACAAAAGUCUGACGGAGCAACGCCGCGUGAGUGAUGAAGGUUUUCGGAUCGUAAAACUCUGUUGUUAGGGAAGAACAAGUACAAGAGUAACUGCUUGUACCUUGACGGUACCUAACCAGAAAGCCACGGCUAACUACGUGCCAGCAGCCGCGGUAAUACGUAUGUGGCAAGCGUUGUCCGGAAUUAUUGGGCGUAAAGCGCGCGCAGGCGGUCCUUUAAGUCUGAUGUGAAAGCCCACGGCUCAACCGUGGAGGGUCAUUGGAAACUGGGGGACUUGAGUGCACAAGAGAAGAGUGGAAUUCCACGUGUAGCGGUGAAAUGCGUAGAGAUGUGGAGGAACACCAGUGGCGAAGGCGACUCUUUGGUCUGUAACUGACGCUGAGGCGCGAAAGCGUGGGGAGCAAACAGGAUUAUA